GGUGUCUCUCAGGUGACAUACCCCGGAAUCGGGCUCCCUCCUCUCUGGUUCUGGGCGCACCACUGGAGAACCACA
This is a non-coding RNA of Myotis davidii, 75 nucleotides long. The record is from Rfam. NCBI's taxonomy places the organism in Eukaryota, Metazoa, Chordata, Mammalia, Chiroptera, Vespertilionidae.